Molecule: unclassified non-coding RNA, 103 nt
Filed under: Flavobacterium saliperosum
Lineage: Bacteria; Pseudomonadati; Bacteroidota; Flavobacteriia; Flavobacteriales; Flavobacteriaceae
Description: Flavo-1 RNA
Source: RNAcentral
UCUUAGCCCCGACAGGAGCGGCAUCCUUUUGUGGAGCCUCAGCGGAACAAAAGAUUACUUCGUCAGUUCGCUUCGCUCGGGUCAGCGGAUGGCGGGAAAACGG